AACAUUUGACGGAGAAGGCAAUAUGAACGCAGCAGUGGUGAACGGUUGGGUUCAUACUUUCAGUGAUUGAGAGAGCACCCAAGCAAGCGAGUAGCUUCCACUCUCUCCAAUUACAAUUUCAACUCCACUCUUUUUCUUUCUUCUUCUUAUUAUUACUAUUACCCUUUUCCAUUUCCCCCUUCAUUUCCCCCUUCAAAUUUAGGGUUUCCAAUUCCAACAAUCUAGGGUUUUCAUGUUCUUCGAAUCUCAAUUUUUCAUGUCUUAUGAAUCGAUAUGUUCUCUCUUUUCUCCGAACCCUUCCUCCUCGCCGUCACACUAACCGCCCUCUGUUUCUUCCUCGCGCUCUUCUCUCUCUUCCGACCGUUUUCCUUUCGGUUUUCAUUCACCAGAUUCACGCCGCCGUUCAACCACUGCAACUGCGCUUCCUCCGAUUCUCAAGAUUCUGUGCCUUACUUGAACGGAACUGUUGCGGAGAUGAUGGAGAUCAGUCCUUCUCCUGCGCCGGUUGUGUUGCCUGAUCGUCGCAGUGGUUCUUCUAUGAUGGAGGAGCUUGUUCCCGAGAUUACUACGCACGCGCUUAGUUAUUUGGAUUAUCCGAGUUUGUGUCGGCUUUCCAUGACUAAUUCUUUGAUGCGGAAGGCUGCUAAUGACGAUAAUGCCUGGAAAGCACUCUAUCACAAGGACUUCACAUUGGAACAAAGUAGCGUCACACCAAGAAAUGGGUGGAAGGCAUACUAUGCUGCUACAAGAGCAAUUGUGAUUGUUAAUACAGAAUUUUUCAAUAUCGUAAGAGACAAGUCCAUUCCGGCAAUGCGUCGGUUUUGGCUGAAUGCAGAUUACGUGAAAUGCAUCCAUGCCUCAGGAGAACUUUUUUCGGGGUAUAAUGGAGUAAUGCGGGGCUGGCAACUCGUUUUCAACUGGGAGCAAGGAUUGAACUUUCAGGUUCGGGAUGUACGAGCUCGGGUCUUGAGUGACAUGGCUUGGGUUACCAUGAAAACAUACGUUGACAUGGAUACAGGGCCAUUCAACGUAACCAACGUGUUUGAGUUCCAUAAUGGUCGGUGGUAUAUGGUUCAUCACCACAGUUCUGUGAUGAAUGGGGAUGUAGAGCAACAAAUUAUGCAUGGAUAAUAAUAGUAAGAGAGAUGAUAUGUUAUUAUGUCUGAUACUGGUUUCAGAAAAGGAAAUUGCAAUGGGGCUACCAAAGAUUUAAAAAUAGAGUAAAUGGAUUAGUAAACACAAAAGAUCGAUGGAAAAGAUUCUCCGUGAAUCAAAGUCGGAUACCGAUGGCGAGACUUGUGAAAAACCAAGACUGCAAUUGCGGGAGCUAAUGCAAAAGCAUACUCCAAUUUGGGCGUGCAUUUUAGUAGGAUGUACAUUUUUUGCUGAGAGAUUUUUCCAAACUUGUGCUAACAAAUGAUGAUUUUGUUGUAGAACGCUCUUCGCUCAUCAAAUUUUAGAAGUCAAAAUGUUGUUAUUUCAAAUAGUAAAUUUUCACUUA
Molecule: RNA transcript, 1501 nt
Organism: Lathyrus oleraceus (garden pea)
Lineage: Eukaryota; Viridiplantae; Streptophyta; Magnoliopsida; Fabales; Fabaceae
Gene name: F-box protein SKIP8
Exons: 4
Source: RefSeq, a predicted model, not a curated record